GGGCCGACAACCUGCGGG
Molecule: unclassified non-coding RNA, 18 nt
Filed under: Chlamydomonas reinhardtii
Lineage: Eukaryota; Viridiplantae; Chlorophyta; Chlorophyceae; Chlamydomonadales; Chlamydomonadaceae
Description: small RNA Cre_1898
Source: RNAcentral